Oryza sativa Japonica Group (Japanese rice) is the source of this 2125-nucleotide non-coding RNA. Lineage: Eukaryota; Viridiplantae; Streptophyta; Magnoliopsida; Poales; Poaceae. The record is from RefSeq and is a predicted model, not a curated record.
AAGUAUUUUCAUUGUUUCAUUCCAACCUUGUGAGGGUAAUCAAAUUAAAUAGCGGUGCUUCAGUUGUUGGUCUGAUAGUCCGAUUUAUGUUUCUGUUGAAUUGGUCACUCAACUGUUAUAUGUAUUGCUUGUCUACUAAACUCUCAGAUCAUGUUCAUCAAAUAGACUGAACUAUGAAGAGCUUAUAGCCUUAUAGCACUAAAUGAAAAUGAAAGGAAGUUUAUCGGAAAAAUGGGCACAUCCAAUGUUGCACCGUUUUAAGUUAUUAAAAAGUAAAUUUUGUCGGGUCCCAGAAAACCCAUAAUUUGGAUAUAACUGUUAAUUCUCUGAUGCAAUUUGUUCAAGUUUUCAAUGGGUAAUGUGGUGUUAUUUGGUUAUUUUAAGUGAGAAUCUUUGUUCAUUCUGAUUACAGGCUGUUCUGCCCUGGCCUUUGCUGGGCAAUUUUGCAGUGAACUAUGAUGUUUGCCUUAUGACAAGGAUACAGAAGAUGUCACUGGACUAUCAUUUCAAAGUAGAGCAGGAAUCAGGCUCAUCUAUGCAUUCAUUCUUUGGCUUCAACGGUACUGCUGCUGUGUGGCGGGUAUCAGCUACUAUUAACGAAGCAGGAGGUUGGAAGGAUCACACAACUGUGGAAGACAUGGACUUGGCUGUACGCCUGUACGGGCAAGCCUCAAGGGAUGGCAAUUCCUGUAUGUUGGUGAUAUAAGGGUUAAGAGUGAACUCCCAAGUACCUUCAAAGCCUACCGACAUCGGCAGCAUAGAUGGACUUGUGGUACUGCCAACCUCUUCAGAAAAAUGCAACGGAAAUUGCCAAAAACAAGGCUAGCCUUCUUCAAUAUGACAGAAUGGAACAUGUUACAGGAUUGUCAUGCAAUAAGUUUCUUUACCCGAUUAUAUGUGAUUCAGGGCGUAUCUGUAUGGAAAAAACUUCAUCUACUCUACAGCUUUUUCUUCGUAAGGAGGGUCGUCGCUCCCAUCCUGACCUUCCUGUUCUACCGUGUUGUGAUUCCGCUGUCUGUCAUGGUCCCUGAAAUCAGCAUUCCUGUCUGGGGGAUGGUCUGCAUUCCCACUGCCAUUACCAUCAUGAACGCCAUCAGAAAUCCUGGGUCUCUCCAUCUGAUGCCUUUUUAGAUUCUAUUUGAGAAUGUCAUGGCCAUGCACCGAAUGCGUGCAGCUCUAACAGGCUUGCUCGAGACCAUGAAUGUCAAUCAGUGGGUGGUUACUGAGAAGGUUGGUGAUCAUGUAAAGGACAAGCUUGAAGUCCCUCUUCUUGAACCAUUGAAGCCAACAGACUGCGUCGAGAGGAUUUACAUUCCUGAGCUCGUGGUCGCGUUCUACCUCCUGGUAUGCGCGUCUCACGAUUUGGUGCUUGGAGCCAAGCACUACUACCUGUACAUCUACCCUGGAAUUUUUACAAUUUGGUCCUUUUAAAAAACUUAUUUCGUAAAUAGACCACUGAAAAAACUUAUCCCAGAAAUGGUCCUUUUUGAAGCGCCAAAGUGGCUGGCGCUGUCACCGUGGCGGGGGCGGCGCUGAGGUGGCAUGGGGAGCACGCUAGAGUGGCUGGAUCCGCACGCCGUGGUCCUUCCCACUCGUACCUGGUUGCUUCAGAAGACAGAGGCCGCCGGAUCCGCGCGCCUCUGUCGCUCCCGAGGACGGGGGGCGGUGGAUUUGUGCGCCGCCAUCCUUGCCCCUACACUUUACCCUUUCCGACAGCAUGGGGGUAUGGAGGUGGAGCGGUGGUGACACAAGGAUGUGCAACGGAGAGUGGGGGGAGGACGGACGACAUCGGCGGCGGUGGGUGGAGGGCGGAUGGCAGCGGGGGAGCACGGGCGCGAGUGGAGUGGCGGCCGCAUGGGCUAGGGUUUGGGGUAGAUGUGGUUGUUUUUUCGAAACAGUCCCUUCCUUUUUUAUGUUUACAACGCUAUCCCUAGAAGUGGAAUUUUCUCUUCUUCGUAUUGUAUUUCUGUGAAAUAGGAGGGCUUUUCCGGAAGAAACGCAACGGGUGUUAACCGGUCCAAGGACGUAUGAGAUAUUUCAUACAAAUAUGUGUUGUUUUUUUUUUGCAAAAUUGCCUAUUAAUGAAAACCGGUUCCACCCCGCAGUGGAGACCGGCACGCAUGCA